CCUACGGGUGGCUGCAGUGAGGAAUAUUGGUCAAUGGGCUAAGGCCUGAACCAGCCAAGUCGCGUGAGGGAAGACGGUCCUAUGGAUUGUAAACCUCUUUUGUCGGGGAGCAACGAGGCCACGUGUGGCCGAAGUGAGAGUACCCGAAGAAAAAGCAUCGGCUAACUCCGUGCCAGCAGCCGCGGUAAUACGGAGGAUGCGAGCGUUAUCCGGAUUUAUUGGGUUUAAAGGGUGCGCAGGCGGAGGUGCAAGUCAGCGGUCAAAUUGCGGGGCUCAACCCCGUACUGCCGUUGAAACUGCAUCCCUUGAGUGCGCGAGAAGUAUGCGGAAUGCGUGGUGUAGCGGUGAAAUGCAUAGAUAUCACGCAGAACUCCGAUUGCGAAGGCAGCAUACCGGCGCGCAACUGACGCUCAUGCACGAAAGCGUGGGUAUCGAACAGGAUUAGAUACCCUAGUAGUC
This 459-nucleotide ribosomal RNA is filed under the name uncultured bacterium. RNAcentral's name for it is "partial 16S ribosomal RNA". It matches the Rfam family "Bacterial small subunit ribosomal RNA", at positions 338 to 795 of the family's 1533-position model. The record is from RNAcentral.